GCGAAUGGCAGUGCGAUUUCAUGGAGUGAAAUCACUGCCUAUUGUUAUGCAAUAUUUAUAAAAAUACAGAAUAAUUAAUUAGAAAUAACGCAAGUGAACACUUUUUACUGAAACAAUGAGGAUUUUGAUUGUUAAUUUGAGUUUCGACUCCAGUGACGCUGAAAAUGAGGAUAGAAGCGUUAAAUUGCACAAUUAUUGUGAAAAAAGUACGCAAAUGUUUUUGUACGACCACGAGCAGUAUGUUGCUGAACACUGAGUACCUCUUUUUAAAAUUGAUAUUCAAAGCAAAAGCAUCUCAAAAAUAUAUCAGACAAAGCUUGAAGGUAUUACAAACUUGUGGCAUCCAAACUGGUUGAGGAGACUGAAUCUGAUUCUAGUGACUUUGUUUUGAAAAUAUAAGAUUCAACUGAAAAUUCUAAUAUCACAAUAACUUCCAAUUUAUACAGAAGUACUAACUGCAGUAAUUAAUUAUUAUAAUCAAAAUAACACCUUUGCUUUAAGCUAUUAUCAGGUAAUGAAAACAGCCAAUUUUUACAGAUGAAUCUAGUAGACAGAAUAAAGUAUUGUCUAUCAAUUCAUUUGAUCAAAUUAAUCAGCUAUUUAAUAUUUCUGACAUAAUUACCUAGAUAAAUCUUUGGAACUAUGAUUAGGUAAAAUAUUAUUGUGAUGAUUAAAUUAAAGAAAAUUAAAAUGAUUAAAUUAAGAAUAUUUCCAUGAAAUAUAACUGCAUAAUACAGCUACUGAAACUUCAAGUACUCAGUAUCACAAUCCUCUGUGGUAUAAUUCAAAUAAUGCUCAUAGUACAGCUAUAGAAAAUAUCGAAUUAACAAAAGAAACGUUGAAGAACUCUUAUUUUCAAGAACAAAAUAUGAU
Long non-coding RNA from Phymastichus coffea, 873 nucleotides. RefSeq lists it as uncharacterized. The record is from RefSeq and is a predicted model, not a curated record. The transcript is spliced from 3 exons. Lineage: Eukaryota; Metazoa; Arthropoda; Insecta; Hymenoptera; Eulophidae.